This 248-nucleotide ribosomal RNA is filed under the name uncultured bacterium. Its description in RNAcentral is "partial 16S ribosomal RNA". It matches the Rfam family "Bacterial small subunit ribosomal RNA", at positions 107 to 353 of the family's 1533-position model. The record is from RNAcentral.
UGAGUAACGCGUGGGUAACCUGCCUCAUACAGGGGGAUAACAGUUAGAAAUGACUGCUAAUACCGCAUAAGCGCACAGUGCUGCAUGGCACAGUGUGAAAAACUCCGGUGGUAUGAGAUGGACCCGCGUCUGAUUAGCUAGCUGGUGGGGUAACGGCCUACCAAGGCGACGAUCAGUAGCCGGCCUGAGAGGGUGAACGGCCACAUUGGGACUGAGACACGGCCCAAACUCCUACGGGAGGCAGCAUG